UGGGGAAUAUUGCACAAUGGGCGCAAGCCUGAUGCAGCCAUGCCGCGUGUGUGAAGAAGGCCUUCGGGUUGUAAAGCACUUUCAGCGGGGAGGAAGGCGGUGAGGUUAAUAACCUCACCGAUUGACGUUACCCGCAGAAGAAGCACCGGCUAACUCCGUGCCAGCAGCCGCGGUAAUACGGAGGGUGCAAGCGUUAAUCGGAAUUACUGGGCGUAAAGCGCACGCAGGCGGUCUGUCAAGUCGGAUGUGAAAUCCCCGGGCUCAACCUGGGAACUGCAUUCGAAACUGGCAGGCUAGAGUCUUGUAGGGGGGGGUAGAAUUCCAGGUGUAGCGGUGAAAUGCGUAGAGAUCUGGAGGAAUACCGGUGGCGAAGGCGGCCCCCUGGACAAAGACUGACGCUCAGGUGCGAAAGCGUGGGAAGCAAACAGG
RNAcentral lists this ribosomal RNA (429 nucleotides) under Chloroflexota bacterium. Its description in RNAcentral is "Chloroflexi bacterium partial 16S ribosomal RNA". It matches the Rfam family "Bacterial small subunit ribosomal RNA", at positions 355 to 776 of the family's 1533-position model. The record is from RNAcentral. Lineage: Bacteria; Bacillati; Chloroflexota.